This 1547-nucleotide long non-coding RNA is filed under the name Marmota monax (woodchuck). The record is from RNAcentral. Lineage: Eukaryota; Metazoa; Chordata; Mammalia; Rodentia; Sciuridae.
GUGCUGUGGUAGCUGUCCUUGCCUGUCCUUGUGACAGUCUGUUUGCUCAUGCAUUCAUUGGACAAGAAUUUAUGGAGCACCUUCUAUGUGUCAGGUAACGGAGAUAAAAUGUCAACAAGGUAAGUGUGACCCAGGAUGCAAAAAGAGAGAAGGAGAGAGGGAGAAGGAAAGAAGGAAGAAAGGAAGGAAUUAAGAAAGGAGGGAAGGGAGGGAGGAAGGGAGGGAGGAAGGGAGGGAAGAAGGGAGGGAAGGAGGGAGGGGAAAACCAUAUAGUUUCUAGCCUCAUGCUUCUUACAGUCUAGAGCAGAAUGUGAAUGCCAUUCAGAUAGCUAUGAAAUUACCACUGGGUUCGGCACUACAAAGAAAAGGUCCAUCAUACCAUAUAGUAGGGAGUGGUCACCUGAUCCCGUCUUGGGAAAUGUCAGGGGUUAGUCGCCCUGAUGGAUCUGAGAACUGGUGGAUGAGAAAGGGCUAACUAAGCCCAGGUGAUGGUAUCUGAGAUAGCUCUUUUACUACACCAUGAACUUCUUGAAGGGCAAGGCCUUUACUACACUUCAUUCUUUAUUCAAUCUAUAGUCCCUAGUUCAUGUUUGCCACACAGGAAGGUUUCAAUAGAUAAAUUUUGAAUGAAGCAUAUUGCUUAGGAAACAUUGUGUGAUGAACUUGCAGAUUUACUAACAUAACAAGUCAGAAUGCAGAGAUGUACUUUCAGACCUGCUAUUUCUCAUGAUGCUUUUUUUGCUUUGCCGUUGGGAUACAUGGAUAUAUAUUGCUAGAAUUUAAAUGCUUCUUUGGGUAAUGCUGAGUCUUUGGGGAUAACUGCUCUUGUCUAGACUCACUUGUUUUUCUCUUGGAUAGUGUCUAGGAUGUGAAGGGAACACCAGUAGAGUAAAAGGGUCUCAGGCCCACCAGAUUCCUCCAGUGCUAGGUGGUCUUGAUUGUGGAGAGCCUGAUCUGCAGUGGGCUGUUGCUAGAUUCUUUCUUGAUUUAGUAGGGUCCUGUGGUUUUUUUCCUGUUGUCUCUACAGGAUAGAUUCUCUGAGUCUUUGUCAUUCCAAAUUGUUCUUCCCCAGACUUCAUUAUUCAGUCAUCUCAUCCCAACCAUGUGUCCUCAAGGAUGACCUGUUGGGUGUUUCUGUCACACAGGAACUAAAGGGGACCAGGAGUACCAUCUAGAUUCUCUGUCGGGCCCCACUGCCUUCAACUCUGCUGACCUUCUCCUUGUUGGCACGGGGUUGAUUACACAAAUACCUCAUGAGGAUUUCUAACAGGAAGUGAAAUUAGAGCCCAGAACAGAGAAUUAAGGACCCACAUGUCUGAGAGUUUUCCUAGCUGAGCAUUGUCAACCUUUCUUCCACAGCCACCUGGAGCCAAAGGGAGAGCCCUUUCAUUCUUCCUGUAUAUCCCGAUCCUCUUUCUGAUCAAGGAUUAAGCAUCAUGAACUGGCCUUCAUGGAAAAGUUUAUCUGACCCAGAAAUUAUUCCCUGAUAUAGAGGAGCAUGCUCCAGGGAUGAUUCUUGUAACAUUAAAUAAGAGAUGAUGGAUUUG